CCUACGGGAGGCAGCAGUGGGGAAUAUUGCACAAUGGGGGAAACCCUGAUGCAGCGACGCCGCGUGAGUGAAGAAGUAUUUCGGUAUGUAAAGCUCUAUCAGCAGGGAAGAAAAUGACGGUACCUGAUUAUGAAUCCCCGGCUACCUACGUUCCAGCAGCCGCGGUACUACGUAGGGGGCAAGCGUUAUCCGGAUUUACUGGGUGUAAAGGGAGCGUAGACGGCAGCACAAGUCUGGAGUGAAAUGCCGGGGCUUAACCCCGGAACUGCUUUGGAAACUGUGCAGCUAGAGUGCAGGAGAGGUAAGUGGAAUUCCUAGUGUAGCGGUGAAAUGCGUAGAUAUUAGGAGGAACACCAGUGGCGAAGGCGGCUUACUGGACUGUAACUGACGUUGAGGCUCGAAAGCGUGGGGAGCAAACAGGAUUAGAUACCCUAGUAGUC
This 440-nucleotide ribosomal RNA is filed under the name uncultured bacterium. RNAcentral describes it as "partial 16S ribosomal RNA". It matches the Rfam family "Bacterial small subunit ribosomal RNA", at positions 338 to 795 of the family's 1533-position model. The record is from RNAcentral.